AUUGAACGCUGGCGGCAGGCCUAACACAUGCAAGUCGAACGGAUGAACGGAUCUUGCUCCUGGAUUCAGCGUCGGACGGGGGAGUAAUGUAUAUGAAUCUGCCUGGUAGUGGGGGAUAACGUCCGGCGACGGGCGCUAAUAUCCCAUACGCGCUGUACGAGAGAGUGGGGGAUCUUCGGACCCCACGCGCUCAGGUGAGCCGAGGUCGGAUUAGCUAGUUGGUGGGGUAAAGGCCUACCAAGGCGACGAUCCGUAGCUGGUCUGAGAGGAGGAUCAGACACACUGGAACUGAGACACGGUCCAGACUCCUACGGGAGGCAGCAGUGGGGAAUAUUGGACAAUGGGCGAAAGCCUGAUCCAGCAAUGCCGCGUGUGUGAAGAAGGUCUUCGGAUUGUAAAGCACUUUUGUUUGGAAGGAAGUGCAGUGCGUUAAUACCUUGCGGUUUUGACGUUACCGGCAGAAUAAGCACCGGCUAACUUCGUG
Molecule: ribosomal RNA, 484 nt
Filed under: uncultured bacterium
Lineage: Bacteria
Description: partial 16S ribosomal RNA
Rfam family: Bacterial small subunit ribosomal RNA
Source: RNAcentral